This 484-nucleotide ribosomal RNA is filed under the name uncultured bacterium. RNAcentral describes it as "partial 16S ribosomal RNA". It matches the Rfam family "Bacterial small subunit ribosomal RNA", at positions 30 to 507 of the family's 1533-position model. The record is from RNAcentral.
AUUGAACGCUGGCGGCAGGCCUAACACAUGCAAGUCGAGCGGAUGAAGGGAGCUUGCUCCUGGAUUCAGCGGCGGACGGGUGAGUAAUGCCUAGGAACCUGCCUGGUAGUGGGGGAUAACGUCCGGAAACGGGCGCUAAUACCGCAUACGUCCUGAGGGAGAAAGUGGGGGAUCUUCGGACCUCACGCUAUCAGAUGAGCCUAGGUCGGAUUAGCUAGUUGGUGGGGUAAAGGCCUACCAAGGCGACGAUCCGUAACUGGUCUGAGAGGAUGAUCAGUCACACUGGAACUGAGACACGGUACAGACUCCUACGGGAGGCAGCAGUGGGGAAUAUUGGACAAUGGGCGAAAGCCUGAUCCAGCCAUGCCGCGUGUGUGAAGAAGGUCUUCGGAUUGUAAAGCACUUUAAGUUGGGAGGAAGGGCAGUAAGUUAAUACCUUGCUGUUUUGACGUUACCAACAGAAUAAGCACCGGCUAACUUCGUG